Non-coding RNA from Aedes albopictus (Asian tiger mosquito), 58 nucleotides. The record is from Rfam. NCBI's taxonomy places the organism in Eukaryota, Metazoa, Arthropoda, Insecta, Diptera, Culicidae.
UAGCCUAGUGGUUAAAGCUAUGGAUCGCGAAUCCGGAGACGGCGGGUUCGAUUCCCGU